AGAUUUGUGAUGGUGCAUUCCUCAGAUGGUUAUGAUCAGUUCAGAGACCAGAUUCAGUGCAGAUGAUCAGUUGGCUUGGAGGAUGGCAAUGCAUUGCAUUCAUUCAUCAGCAUCAUUACAUCUUGCAUUAAUUGCAUCUAACACAUGUUUACCCAUAUGCAGGGACAUUUUUGAUCAAGAUCCUGGUGGAGAGGUUUCUU
This 200-nucleotide long non-coding RNA is filed under the name Lathyrus oleraceus (garden pea). Its description in RNAcentral is "Pisum sativum (pea) long non-coding RNA (PSAT_LNC016456)". The record is from RNAcentral. Lineage: Eukaryota; Viridiplantae; Streptophyta; Magnoliopsida; Fabales; Fabaceae.